UGGGGUGCACCAGGCGCGAAAACUUUACAAUGCUGGCAACAGCGAUAAGGGGACCUCGAGUGCCAGGAUACAAUCUUGGCUGUCGCGAUGCCUAAAAAGCAUUGCAUAGCAAGGGCCGGGCAAGACCGGUGCCAGCCGCCGCGGUAACACCGGCGGCUCGAGUGGUAACCGCUAUUAUUGGGUCUAAAGGGUCUGUAGCCGGCCGGAUAAGUCUUUUGGGAAAUCCAGCUGCUCAACAGUUGGGCUUUCAGAAGAUACUGUUCGGCUCGAGACCGGGAGAGGUGAGAGGUACUUCAGGGGUAGGGGUGAAAUCUUGUAAUCCUUGAAGGACCACCAGUGGCGAAGGCGUCUCACCAGAACGGAUCUGACGGCAAGGGACGAAAGCUAGGGGCACGAACCGGAUUAGAUACCCGGGUAGUCCUAGCCGUAAACGAUACUCGCUAGGUGUCAGCCACGGUGCGACCGUGGUUGGUGCCGUAGGGAAGCCGUGAAGCGAGCCACCUGGGAAGUACGGCCGCAAGGCUGAAACUUAAAGGAAUUGGCGGGGGAGCAC
This 553-nucleotide ribosomal RNA is filed under the name uncultured archaeon. RNAcentral describes it as "bacterial SSU rRNA". It matches the Rfam family "Archaeal small subunit ribosomal RNA", at positions 326 to 879 of the family's 1478-position model. The record is from RNAcentral.